AUCACUUCUCGGCCUUUUGGCUAAGAUCAAGUGUAGAGACUCAUAUAUAAUUUCACAAGGUUUCUUAGGGGAAAAAAUGGUAAUCCCUCAUCUCUUUCCUCUCCUCUAUUUUUCAGGUUGUCAUUUUGUUCUACUAUCUGGGAGAUUUCUU
This 151-nucleotide small nuclear RNA is filed under the name Suricata suricatta (meerkat). RNAcentral describes it as "U2 spliceosomal RNA (ENSSSUG00005019132.1)". It matches the Rfam family "U2 spliceosomal RNA". From Rfam's summary of the family: U2 is a small nuclear RNA (snRNA) component of the spliceosome (involved in pre-mRNA splicing). Complementary binding between U2 snRNA (in an area lying towards the 5' end but 3' to hairpin I) and the branchpoint sequence (BPS) of the intron results the bulging out of an unpaired adenosine, on the BPS, which initiates a nucleophilic attack at the intronic 5' splice site, thus starting the first of two transesterification reactions that mediate splicing. The record is from RNAcentral. Lineage: Eukaryota; Metazoa; Chordata; Mammalia; Carnivora; Herpestidae.